AGCUAGGAGGUUGGCUUAGAAGCAGCCACCCUUUAAAGAAAGCGUAAUAGCUCACUAGUCGAGUCGGCCUGCGCGGAAGAUGUAACGGGGCUCAAACCAUGCACCGAAGCUACGGGUAUCACCUUUUGGUGAUGCGGUAGAGGAGCGUUCUGUAAGCCUGUGAAGGUGAGUUGAGAAGCUUGCUGGAGGUAUCAGAAGUGCGAAUGCUGACAUGAGUAACGACAAUGCGAGUGAAAAACUCGCACGCCGAAAGACCAAGGUUUCCUGCGCAACGUUAAUCGACGCAGGGUUAGUCGGUCCCUAAGGCGAGGCUGAAAAGCGUAGUCGAUGGAAAACAGGUUAAUAUUCCUGUACUUCCAGUUAUUGCGAUGGAGGGACGGAGAAGGUUAGGCCAGCCUGGCGUUGGUUGUCCAGGUUUAAGGUGGUAGGCUGAAAUCUUAGGCAAAUCCGGGAUUUCAAGGCCGAGAGCUGAUGACGAGUUGCCUUUAGGCGACGAAGUGGUUGAUACCAUGCUUCCAAGAAAAGCUCCUAAGCUUCAGAUAACUGGGAACCGUACCCCA
RNAcentral lists this ribosomal RNA (560 nucleotides) under Streptococcus pneumoniae. Its description in RNAcentral is "partial 23S ribosomal RNA". It matches the Rfam family "Bacterial large subunit ribosomal RNA", at positions 1091 to 1651 of the family's 2925-position model. Lineage: Bacteria; Bacillati; Bacillota; Bacilli; Lactobacillales; Streptococcaceae. The record is from RNAcentral.